AUCACUUCUCUGCCUUUUGACUAAGAUCAAGUGUAGUAUCUGUUCUUAUCAGUUUAAUAUAUGAUAUGUCCCUUAUCUGGGGAUUAUAUAUUAAAUUGAUUUUUGGAGCAGGGAGAUGGAAUAGGGUCUUGCUCCAUCCACUCUACUUAUCGACCUGUUACUGCAGUACUUCUAGGAACAGUGCACCUUCC
Molecule: small nuclear RNA, 191 nt
Organism: Protopterus annectens (West African lungfish)
Lineage: Eukaryota; Metazoa; Chordata; Ceratodontiformes; Protopteridae
Product: U2 spliceosomal RNA
Exons: 1
Source: RefSeq, a predicted model, not a curated record